Molecule: signal recognition particle RNA, 207 nt
Filed under: Chlorocebus sabaeus (green monkey)
Lineage: Eukaryota; Metazoa; Chordata; Mammalia; Primates; Cercopithecidae
Description: Metazoan signal recognition particle RNA
Rfam family: Metazoan signal recognition particle RNA
About the family: The signal recognition particle (SRP) is a universally conserved ribonucleoprotein. It is involved in the co-translational targeting of proteins to membranes.
Source: Rfam by way of RNAcentral
AAGAGACCUUUAAGACAGCUGGUCAUUAUGCCGACCGGGUGUGCGCGCUAAGUUCCGUAUCAAUAUGGUGACCUCCUGGGAGCAGGGGGCCAUCAGGUUGCCUAAGGAUGGGAGAACUGGCCCAGGUCAGAAAGGGACCAGGUCAGGACUCCCGCACCAAUCGGUAGCGGGACUGUGCCUGGGCAGUAUAGCAAGAUCUUGGUUCUU